UGGGGAAUAUUGGACAAUGGGCGCAAGCCUGAUCCAGCCAUGCCGCAUGUGUGAAGAAGGCCUUUUGGUUGUAAAGCACUUUAAGCGAGGAGGAGGCUACUUGGAUUAAUACUCUAGGAUAGUGGACGUUACUCGCAGAAUAAGCACCGGCUAACUCUGUGCCAGCAGCCGCGGUAAUACAGAGGGUGCGAGCGUUAAUCGGAUUUACUGGGCGUAAAGCGUGCGUAGGCGGCUUCUUAAGUCGGAUGUGAAAUCCCUGAGCUUAACUUAGGAAUUGCAUUCGAUACUGGGAAGCUAGAGUAUGGGAGAGGAUGGUAGAAUUCCAGGUGUAGCGGUGAAAUGCGUAGAGAUCUGGAGGAAUACCGAUGGCGAAGGCAGCCAUCUGGCCUAAUACUGACGCUGAGGUACGAAAGCAUGGGGAGCAAACAGG
RNAcentral lists this ribosomal RNA (430 nucleotides) under bacterium. RNAcentral describes it as "partial 16S ribosomal RNA". It matches the Rfam family "Bacterial small subunit ribosomal RNA", at positions 355 to 776 of the family's 1533-position model. RNAcentral also lists the same sequence under 1 other name. The record is from RNAcentral.